AUGGAGCCAGGAGGAGGUGUGUGUCUUGCAGGCAUACCAUUUUUAGUUAUCCUCUACCUCUCCAGUCCAAGGAAGAACUGGUUGUUUCUUAUUGAUGACCUCCAUCUCACAGGAAAGAUUAAAGGGCUGCACUUGAGCUGUGUGUUUGCUGAGCUUUCGUCACUCCAGUCCACUCUUGAGUUCAGUUAUGAAAGUUGUGUAUUUUCAGAGGUCAUUGGAAGGCAACACACCUCUGUUUUCUGAGUGUGGAGAACUCGCUCCUAAUCGCCAGGCUUAUUGUUUUAUUACCACUGUUUACAAACAGGGAGAAACCCCCUUGAAUGGGCACUUCCUUUCUUACCACAGGCUUCCCCACUAUUUUAAGAUGUAGAUAAGUUCAGUAUUCAGGUUCACUGUUUGACCCAUUAAACUGGUAUUGAGGUAUAAUUUGUGUGUUUUCCCAGUACCGUUGCACAUAGAAUGGGGUUCAUUUCCACACGUUUGAAUAAAUUUAUCCAGUUCAGUGAACCUGUUGUGAAG
Molecule: long non-coding RNA, 519 nt
Filed under: Vulpes vulpes (red fox)
Lineage: Eukaryota; Metazoa; Chordata; Mammalia; Carnivora; Canidae
Description: lncRNA (ENSVVUG00000020656.1)
Source: RNAcentral